AGAAGUAUGAUCAAGAAAAGCUGCUAACUUUUUCCUUUUAAUGGUUAAACUCCAUUUAUACUUCUU
RNAcentral lists this transfer RNA (66 nucleotides) under Rutilia goerlingiana. RNAcentral's name for it is "tRNA-Ser". Lineage: Eukaryota; Metazoa; Arthropoda; Insecta; Diptera; Tachinidae. The record is from RNAcentral.